AGUUGCUGCUGCAUGAUGGCUGAUGCAUGUUUUGGAAGCUGAAGAGCAAGAGUAUCUCAAUACUGCAUAAAGAGUUGGACUGAGAUUUUUGUGUUCAAUGUACAGCUGGAGGAGGCUCAAACGUAUUGGAACUCACACCUGGGAGAUAAUUUACAAACCCCUCAACUGUGUUCUCUGCAGAUAGCUCCUGUAGCGGCCAGCCAUUGGCAGACAUGUUGGAAGGCAGCCACGCAUGCGGUGGAGUAUAGCUAAAACCUGUAGAUGGGGCCUUGCUUUUUCCUCAAAACGGCAAUAAUGUGGACCUGGCUUUACUCCCCUGCAAAGAGAAAUGACAUUUUCUUCAAGCCCUUAACUUACAAGGUGGCACAGUGGUAUAUGUGGUAAGAAACACUGGACCUCUGGAAGUGUAUUUAGUUCCCUGUUGUGAUGCUGCUGUUUAUCUCAUCUCUCCAAGCAUGUAUUUUUGGAAAUGUACUCAUGAGUUUAGUGCCCAUUUUGUGUGAGGCUGUUGAUACAUGCAAU
Hirundo rustica (Barn swallow) is the source of this 522-nucleotide long non-coding RNA. RefSeq lists it as uncharacterized. NCBI's taxonomy places the organism in Eukaryota, Metazoa, Chordata, Aves, Passeriformes, Hirundinidae. The record is from RefSeq and is a predicted model, not a curated record. The transcript is spliced from 5 exons.